Molecule: ribosomal RNA, 301 nt
Filed under: uncultured bacterium
Lineage: Bacteria
Description: partial 16S ribosomal RNA
Rfam family: Bacterial small subunit ribosomal RNA
Source: RNAcentral
CAGCAGCCACGGGAAUACAGAGGGUGCGAGCGUUAAUCGGAUUUACUGGGAGUAAAGCGUGCGUAGGCGGCUUCUUAAGUCGGAUGUGAAAUCCCUGAGCUUAACUUAGGAAUUGCAUUCGAUACUGGGAAGCUAGAGUAUGGGAGAGGAUGGUAGAAUUCCAGGUGUAGCGGUGAAAUGCGUAGAGAUCUGGAGGAAUACCGAUGGCGAAGGCAGCCAUCUGGCCUAAUACUGACGCUGAGGUACGAAAGCAUGGGGAGCAAACAGGAUUAGAUACCCCAGUAGUCCCUGUCUCUUAUAC